GACGAACGCUGGCGGCGUGCCUAACACAUGCAAGUCGAACGGAAAGUCCCGCUUGUGGGGUACUCGAGUGGCUAACGGGUGAGUAACUCGUGUUUAACCUACCCUUGCCUUCGGGAUAACUUCCUGAUACUGGGUCUAAUCCUCGAUCGGAGCUCCUGCCGCAUGUUGGGGGUCGGACAUUUUAGGCGGUUGGUGGUGGACUCGCAGCUUAUCAGCUUGUUGGUGGGGUAGUGGCUAACCAAGACGUUGAGCGGUAGCAGGCCUGAGAGGGGGCCCGGCCAAAUUGGGACUGAGAUAAGGCACAGACUAGUACGGGAGGCAGGAGAGGGGAAGAUUACACAAUGGGAGGAGGCAUGAUGCGGCAAAGCAGCGUGGGGGAUGAGGGGAUGCGGGUAGGAAACCGAUGUCGCCUGUGACGAAGCGUGAGUGACGGUAAUGGGUAAAGAAGCACCGGCUAACUACGUG
This 465-nucleotide ribosomal RNA is filed under the name uncultured bacterium. Its description in RNAcentral is "partial 16S ribosomal RNA". It matches the Rfam family "Bacterial small subunit ribosomal RNA", at positions 28 to 507 of the family's 1533-position model. The record is from RNAcentral.